CUUCUCUGGAUGAGUUGCGAACGGGUGAGUAACGCGUAGGUAACCUGCCUGGUAGCGGGGGAUAACUAUUGGAAACGAUAGCUAAUACCGCAUAAGAGUAGAUGUUGCAUGACAUUUGCUUAAAAGGUGCAAUUGCAUCACUACCAGAUGGACCUGCGUUGUAUUAGCUAGUUGGUGGGGUAACGGCUCACCAAGGCGACGAUACAUAGCCGACCUGAGAGGGUGAUCGGCCACACUGGGACUGAGACACGGCCCAGACUCCUACGGGAGGCAGCAGUAGGGAAUCUUCGGCAAUGGACGGAAGUCUGACCGAGCAACGCCGCGUGAGUGAAGAAGGUUUUCGGAUCGUAAAGCUCUGUUGUAAGAGAAGAACGAGUGUGAGAGUGGAAAGUUCACGCUGUGACGGUAUCUUACCAGAAAGGGACGGCUAACUACGUGCCAGCAGCCGCGGUAAUACGUAGGUCCCGAGCGUUGUCCGGAUUUAUUGGGCGUAAAGCGAGCGCAGGCGGUUAGAUAAGUCUGAAGUUAAAGGCUGUGGCUUAACCAUAGUACGCUUUGGAAACUGUUUAACUUGAGUGCAAGAGGGGAGAGUGGAAUUCCAUGUGUAGCGGUGAAAUGCGUAGAUAUAUGGAGGAACACCGGUGGCGAAAGCGGCUCUCUGGCUUGUAACUGACGCUGAGGCUCGAAAG
This 689-nucleotide ribosomal RNA is filed under the name Streptococcus mitis. RNAcentral's name for it is "bacterial SSU rRNA". It matches the Rfam family "Bacterial small subunit ribosomal RNA", at positions 82 to 759 of the family's 1533-position model. Lineage: Bacteria; Bacillati; Bacillota; Bacilli; Lactobacillales; Streptococcaceae. The record is from RNAcentral.